GAUGAACGCUGGCGGCGUGCCUAAUACAUGCAGGUCGAGCGAACAGAUGAGGAGCUUGCUCCUCUGACGUUAGCGGCGGACGGGUGAGUAACACGUGGAUAACCUACCUAUAAGACUGGGAUAACUACGGGAAACCGGAGCUAAUACCGGAUAAUAUAUUGAACCGCAUGGUUCAAUAGUGAAAGACGGUUUUGCUGUCACUUAUAGAUGGAUCCGCGCCGCAUUAGCUAGUUGGUAAGGUAACGGCUUACCAAGGCAACGAUGCGUAGCCGACCUGAGAGGGUGAUCGGCCCCACUGGAACUGAGACACGGUCCAGACUCCUACGGGAGGCAGCAGUAGGGAAUCUUCCGCAAUGGGCGAAAGCCUGACGGAGCAACGCCGCGUGAGUGAUGAAGGUCUUCGGAUCGUAAAACUCUGUUAUUAGGGAAGAACAAAUGUGUAAGUAACUAUGCACGUCUUGACGGUACCUAAUCAGAAAGCCACGGCUAACUACGUG
RNAcentral lists this ribosomal RNA (497 nucleotides) under uncultured bacterium. RNAcentral's name for it is "partial 16S ribosomal RNA". It matches the Rfam family "Bacterial small subunit ribosomal RNA", at positions 28 to 507 of the family's 1533-position model. The record is from RNAcentral.